This 350-nucleotide long non-coding RNA is filed under the name Sorghum bicolor (sorghum). Its description in RNAcentral is "long non-coding RNA (SBIC_LNC011590)". The record is from RNAcentral. Lineage: Eukaryota; Viridiplantae; Streptophyta; Magnoliopsida; Poales; Poaceae.
CUCCCACAACCUAACGUUGUCCUGGAAAGAUAAUAGUGUCAAUGAAAAUUUUGGUAGCAUCUCCCCUACACAAGGAGGUUUCCAAAACCUACAACAAAACAGCGGCACGAUGGCCGACAAAUACAACGACACGAUGGCCAGCUAACACAACAGCAUGAUGUUCAGUAACCAUAGCGGCACGAGGGCCGGCUAACACAGCGACACGAUGGCUGGCAACCACUACAACAACUACCUUGUGUGCAAUGAAGGGCGGUGGUGCUCACGGUGUUGGGGCGAUGAUCGUCAGGGCGUCGCGGGACAGACACGGCGAGCGCGGCAACCGGCAACCCCUUUCUCCUUCUGCUGCUCCU